AAGUCGUAACAAGGUUUCCGUAGGUGAACCUGCGGAAGGAUCAUUAACACGUUAUUUAUAACGUUUAUCAACCAAUAGCGAACUGUUUUCAAUCCUCCCUUCACUACAUGUCGGAAUGGACGAUCAUCUUCAUUCGUGCGAUCAUUUAUGACCGUUCAAUGGGGACGUCGGAUCUGUGCAUGGAAGGCCAAACCCCACGGAUACUCUUCCUCGGUAUGAGGGGGGUAGACGUACAUUUAAACCAUUUUCACCCUACUUUAAUAAGUUGACUCAUAACUGUUGGUUUGGUGCUUGCAUCGAAUCAGCACGUUUAAUCUAAUUAAACGUUAAACAAUUACAACUCUUAGCAAUGGAUGUCUAGGCUCUC
This 367-nucleotide unclassified non-coding RNA is filed under the name fungal sp. RNAcentral's name for it is "partial internal transcribed spacer region". The stretch from base 1 to 46 matches the Rfam family "Eukaryotic small subunit ribosomal RNA", at positions 1786 to 1831 of the family's 1831-position model. Lineage: Eukaryota; Fungi. The record is from RNAcentral.